AUGAUUUUAUUUUGUCUCUUUUGUUUUAAUAAUACAUAUGUGAUUAUGGGCCAUUAUUUGGAAAAUGUGUGUCUUUAGUGUUUUUAACAGGUUUUGUGACAUUUUUCUCAAUAUGGAAGACAUACUUAAAGAAAAUUUAGCUUAAAAUUGCAUUUCUGGGUGUUUCUUUACUGAUUUUGUUGUGAAUCAGAAGCAGAUAAAAAAAAUUGCAGCUUUUCUUCUUCAGAAUCUACUGGAAUUAUCCUGUUCACGGUUGAAAAAUGAUAGUAUGUUGAAGAUUUAGUGAUUGACGGCUGUAAGCUAGUGCCCAUGUAAACAGAUGAAUGAUGGGAAGUGGGGAUGGGAUUACUCUGCACCAACAGUCCCACCCAUAACUCAGACGUGAAUUUCUAAUGAACUGAUGCCGCUCUGCAGAAACUAUGUCCCAAAAAACAACACAAAUGUUUGAUUUUGGCUAAAACGGCCUAAUAAUAAACCUCUUGGAAUUAGCUAAUAAAAUGUGUUACUGCGAUAUUUACGUAUUUAAUUAAUGAGUGUUUUCCUCGUGUCCUUCUGUGAAACUUUUUGAUUCAUCAAGUUGGAAUAUUUUAUCACAUUGACCCAGUUAAUUGUAUUGUGUCUGACAGGGGUAGUAAAUCAUGGUGGAAGAUGCAUUCCCGCUGGACUCCACUGUCUGGACUUCACACACCGGCUUCCUGAGCCUCAGUGUGUCCUACUGCACGUGCUCAGCUCCACAUCACACUCACGGUCACGUAAGAGGGGGCUUCCGAGAACACAUCCAGGCUGAGGAAAGUGAUGAGGAUGUUAUUUGCCCAUAGCUCGGCUCUGCCCCAAAUAUCACACACAAUGUCAAGAGAUCCACGUGAGUCCUUGAAAUACAAGUCAGGCUUCGCCGACUUGUUGACCACAGACGGUGGGCCUGAGAAUCCCUUCACUUCACGACAAGGAGAGUUAUUACUUUCUAGAAAUAAUUUCCAGUAGCUCUGAUUUCCAAUGCAGGGCUGGGCACUGUGCAAUUUUAAUGAGCUCUGAUGCUGUUUUGGGACAAGUCUGCUCUGAAAUCCCCCCUGGACUUAAGGGUGAGUAAGAGCAUGUGUGUGCUCGGGUCGUACCAACCAAAGAGUGUGGGUAUGGAGUUGUAAAAUCCCAGAGUGGCUUGGGCUCACGUGAGUCUUACUGGAGAGCAGGACUUGAGCCAUGGGGGAGGGGUAAUGAGUGAAUGAACGCCUCAUUGUAUCAUUCCGGUACUUUCUUGGUGGACAUGAAAGCCAGAAGACACCCUUAACUUGCUAAACCUUUUAACAGGAUGCAGACCCGCAAUUAAAAUCCACACAGCAGGGGGAUAACAGGGCCAGUAAGUUCAUUAUGUGUAAUCCUAUUGAUGCACAGGCUUGUAUGCACACACGUGCUAGUUGCAUCCUCUGGAGGAGCGAAAAAGGCCAACAUUUUACUUUUAGUAUUUUAGCUUGUAUAAUAGUUGCCAACAAAUGCAAAAUUCAAAAUGCCCCAUGGGACCUUUUAAUCCAUCCAUUGUAGCUAGAGUCAAAAGAAAAGUUGGCAUCGUAAAAAUCUUGUGGUUAAAAAAAAAAAA
This is a long non-coding RNA of Oryzias melastigma (Indian medaka), 1591 nucleotides long. RefSeq lists it as uncharacterized. The transcript is spliced from 2 exons. NCBI's taxonomy places the organism in Eukaryota, Metazoa, Chordata, Actinopteri, Beloniformes, Adrianichthyidae. The record is from RefSeq and is a predicted model, not a curated record.